This 410-nucleotide long non-coding RNA is filed under the name Callithrix jacchus (white-tufted-ear marmoset). RNAcentral's name for it is "lncRNA (ENSCJAG00000085604.1)". Lineage: Eukaryota; Metazoa; Chordata; Mammalia; Primates; Cebidae. The record is from RNAcentral.
UUUUUCAUUUUGAUUCAGAAAUGAGAGCACUUUGAAAAUACAUCCAUGAUACUGGCUACCCAUAAAGAAAAUGAACUAAAUGUCAGUGGAACAGACAGAGAAUCGGAAAACAAAAGAAAGUCAAGAGAUUCAUCCAAGUGACCCAGACUACAGUAUUCCAUUAUAGAAGUUGAAGUGGACUAAGAUAAAACAAAUAUGGAGCAUUGGUCAUCACAAAGUAUAUUGGACAGAUCUAUAUAAUGCUUCCUUGCGAAGAACCUUCUUUUGAGAUACUAGAAGGACAUGUUUGCUUCCCUUUCCACCAUGACUGUAAGUUUCCUAAGGUCUUCCCAGCCAUGUGAACUGUGAAACAAUUAGACAUCUCUCCUUUAUAAAUUACCCAGUCUCAGGUAUGUCACUACUAGCAGCAU